UACGAAGGGGGCUAGCGUUGCUCGGAAUUACUGGGCGUAAAGGGCGCGUAGGCGGACAGUUUAGUCAGAGGUGAAAGCCCAGGGCUCAACCUUGGAAUUGCCUUUGAUACUGGCUGUCUUGAGUUCGGGAGAGGUGAGUGGAAUGCCGAGUGUAGAGGUGAAAUUCGUAGAUAUUCGGCGGAACACCAGUGGCGAAGGCGACUCACUGGCCCGAUACUGACGCUGAGGCGCGAAAGCCAGGGGAGCAAACGGG
Molecule: ribosomal RNA, 253 nt
Filed under: uncultured bacterium
Lineage: Bacteria
Description: partial 16S ribosomal RNA
Rfam family: Bacterial small subunit ribosomal RNA
Source: RNAcentral